CCUACGGGAGGCAGCAGUGGGGAAUAUUGCACAAUGGGGGAAACCCUGAUGCAGCGACGCCGCGUGAGUGAAGAAGUAUCUCGGUACGUAAAGCUCUAUCAGCAGGGAAGAAAAUGACGGUACCUGAUUAAGAAGCCCCGGCUAACUACGUGCCAGCAGCCGCGGUAAUACGUAGGGGGCAAGCGUUAUCCGGAUUUACUGGGUGUAAAGGGAGCGUAGACGGCAGCGCAAGUCUGGAGUGAAAUGCCGGGGCCCAACCCCGGAACUGCUUUGGAAACUGUGCAGCUCGAGUGCAGGAGAGGUAAGCGGAAUUCCUAGUGUAGCGGUGAAAUGCGUAGAUAUUAGGAGGAACACCAGUGGCGAAGGCGGCUUACUGGACUGUAACUGACGUUGAGGCUCGAAAGCGUGGGGAGCAAACAGGAUUAGAUACCCCAGUAGU
RNAcentral lists this ribosomal RNA (439 nucleotides) under uncultured bacterium. RNAcentral's name for it is "bacterial SSU rRNA". It matches the Rfam family "Bacterial small subunit ribosomal RNA", at positions 338 to 794 of the family's 1533-position model. The record is from RNAcentral.